This 74-nucleotide transfer RNA is filed under the name Bacteroidota bacterium. RNAcentral's name for it is "Bacteroidetes bacterium (sediment metagenome) tRNA-Val". It matches the Rfam family "tRNA". From Rfam's summary of the family: Transfer RNA (tRNA) molecules are approximately 80 nucleotides in length. Their secondary structure includes four short double-helical elements and three loops (D, anti-codon, and T loops). Lineage: Bacteria; Pseudomonadati; Bacteroidota. The record is from RNAcentral.
CGGGCCAUAGCUCAGGUGGUUAGAGCGCCACGUUGACAUCGUGGAGGUCACAGGUUCGAGUCCCGUUGGCCCGA